Panicum virgatum (switchgrass) is the source of this 1679-nucleotide long non-coding RNA. RefSeq lists it as uncharacterized. NCBI's taxonomy places the organism in Eukaryota, Viridiplantae, Streptophyta, Magnoliopsida, Poales, Poaceae. The record is from RefSeq and is a predicted model, not a curated record. The transcript is spliced from 4 exons.
UCGGCGAUGUUCGGGUACUCCAUGUCCCGACUACCUCCCAGUUUGCUGACAUCUUCACGAAGGGGCUGCCCUCGUCGACCUUCUCGGAGUUUCGAUCCAGCCUCAACGUAGCCGGUGGCUAGUUGUGGCUGGGGGGUCUUAGCCCUUUUGUGCUCUACUUGUACUCUCAUCUUGUCCAGUCUUGAACACCGCUGCGUCGGUUGUUCAGACUGCAGGGGGGUGUUAGCUUUCUUGUUGUCCAGUCUUGAACACCGCUGCGCCGGUAGUUCAGACUGCGGGGGGUGUUGGAGUAUAUUGAGCUCAUGUGUAUAGAGGCCCAUGUAUAGGAUCUAUAUAUACCCACCCAUCUAGGGUUGGAGGAAUACAAUUAUUAUUCCCGUCAUUAUAAAUUUCCAUAAAAAUAUUUUAGUGCAACUGAACCAAUCAGUGAGGUUGUGUGAUUGUUACAUUGCACCAAAGAGGAUGCUCAUAAUGGCAACUAUCGUGCCACCUCCUGUUGCCUUGUUUUUGGUUACAGCAACUGCCCCAAUCCAAACCAUCAGUGCCCAGGAACAAAAGGUCACUGCUUGGAACAAUCCGAGUCCUAUUCCCUUUAUCAUUGCUUCCUUCUUUCUUAGAUUAAACUGAUUUUCCAUGCACUGAACAAAUGACUUCAUGGCCCAGCUCUCUCCGACAAAGGAGAAGACAGUCUUGAUAUGUGACAAGGUCUGUAAACAAAUGUAUACUUGGAUUAUGAACAUAACGAAGCAGGAGAUAUUCUGUACCCCAACAUUUCUAUCUAUUCCAGUAACUUAUCUUAAGGAUUAGAGGAAUGACCAGGAAGGAAAGCAUCGCAACUUGCCAGCAGCUGAUAAAUGCAAUUAUGGUGCCAGCAAAGAAGGUGGAGAAGCUUGCAACGAAAUGACCCAGCUGCAGAAAAGUGAACUUAGAUACAGUGGUCAAGUCAGUAUCAAAAGCCCCUACCUCUUGGUUGAGGACUGAUCUCAGAAAUGCUAGCCGCAUGCGUGCUAGCUGUCUCUCACUUGAGUAUAUCCAGCAGGAGAUCUCUGCAGUUAAUUCAUUGGAGAAAAAGGCUGCUGCUGUUUGCGACACGGAGGUGCACCGUGAGUACCAAAUCGGUUCAUUAUAUUUGAACUUUUCAGAGUACCAAAUCGGUUCAUUCUCCGAAUCCGGCACAAACGCCUCGAGUUUACAGCUUUUCAGCGCCCGGAGCUUGGAAGGUCAAUUGGAUGCUGGAAAGGAGACACUUAUUUGGCUGGACUGCUGGAAUGCUCCUGUUGGAUUCAUCUGCUAACCUGAUCAGCUUUGGAAUGCGGCUCUUGGACGUGGCAGCAGCAUAUGCUACUGUUUUUUUUUUUUUGGAGUGCAUCCAGCAGGUACGGAGAUUAAGUGUUGUCAUCUCAUAAUCCGAAUGGUCAUGUAACUAUCGUUCAUGGGAUAACCGAAGAAUAUGCGGAUGCCAUGAACACGCCAGGAAUGACCCGUUCAAAAAACGACCUGUUUAAAGAAUUUCAAAUAUCUGUGUAUGUACGUUUUUGUUUGUCCUCCAUUCAUCAUUGACGAUAUAUUUUGCACAUCUGUAUCAUUACUCCAAAUAUCCUGCUGAAUUAUAUGCUGGGCUUGACUCGCUCCCUGUAUGCCCGUGUUCGAUCAACUUGAUCGGCCGACUUGGAUCAUAA